AGAGUUUGAUCCUGGCUCAGAGCGAACGCUGGCGGCAGGCCUAACACAUGCAAGUCGAACGAACCCCUCGGGGUGAGUGGCGGACGGGUGAGUAACACGUGGGAACGUACCCUUUGGUUCGGAACAACACAGGGAAACUUGUGCUAAUACCGGAUGUGCCCUUCGGGGGAAAGAUUUAUCGCCAUUGGAGCGGCCCGCGUUGGAUUAGCUAGUUGGUGGGGUAAAGGCCCACCAAGGCUCCGAUCCAUAGCUGGUCUGAGAGGAUGAUCAGCCACACUGGGACUGAGACACGGCCCAGACUCCUACGGGAGGCAGCAGUGGGGAAUCUUGCGCAAUGGGCGAAAGCCUGACGCAGCCAUGCCGCGUGAAUGAUGAAGGUCUUAGGAUUGUAAAAUUCUUUCAGCAGGGACGAUAAUGACGGUACCUGCAGAAGAAGCCCCGGCUAACUUCGUGCCAGCAGCCGCGGUAAUACGAAGGGGGCUAGCGUUGCUCGGAUUUACUGGGCGUAAAGGGCGCGUAGGCGGAUCAGCAAGUUGGGGGUGAAAGCCCGGGGCUCAACCUCGGAACUGCCUUCAAAACUGUUGAUCUUGAGUAUGAGAGAGGUGUGUGGAACUCCGAGUGUAGAGGUGAAAUUCGUAGAUAUUCGGAAGAACACCAGUGGCGAAGGCGACACACUGGCUCAUUACUGACGCUGAGGCGCGAAAGCGUGGGGAGCAAACAGGAUUAGAUACCCUGGUAGUCCACGCCGUAAACGAUGAGUGCUAGUUGUCGGGCGGCAUGCCGUUCGGUGACGCAGCUAACGCAUUAAGCACUCCGCCUGGGGAGUACGGUCGCAAGAUUAAAACUCAAAGGAAUUGACGG
RNAcentral lists this ribosomal RNA (861 nucleotides) under uncultured bacterium. RNAcentral describes it as "bacterial SSU rRNA". It matches the Rfam family "Bacterial small subunit ribosomal RNA", at positions 8 to 916 of the family's 1533-position model. The record is from RNAcentral.